Hyla sarda is the source of this 1077-nucleotide long non-coding RNA. RefSeq lists it as uncharacterized. The record is from RefSeq and is a predicted model, not a curated record. The transcript has 3 exons. Lineage: Eukaryota; Metazoa; Chordata; Amphibia; Anura; Hylidae.
UUGAGAAGAAUGUUCUUCAUGCCGCCUGGCAGGGAACCAGUGAACUAUUAACACUUCCAGUCUCUGUUUGGUGGCUGCUGCCAGCCGAGCUGAAUCAUGGUAACAGAUUUGACACCGCAUGUUAUUAGCCAUUAUCCAUCCUUUGUUUGUUUUCUUUUAUGUCAAGUGGAGAUUAACAUGAGGAAAGAGUUGAAAGCCACCGAUGGACCAUAGCCAGGGCGUACGGAUAUCUUUAUGUGGAGGAAAAAUAAACACGAGGAUUCUGUCCACUGACAAACACUUGGACGAAGUUGCUGGUGACUGAUAAGACUGGAGAGAUAGGCUCUGUGACGACUGAGAGGACUUCAAGGAUGACAACUGUGUGGUCGAUCUGUUGACAUACGUACCUGCAACCUCUUACAUCAAUUUCCCGGAGGAAUUUUCUUGGCUCAGUCUCCUUCAGCUGCUGAAACAGUUAACACGUUUUCGGUAGUUACAUAAAGAGAUUCUCUCACUUGGGAUAUUCUUCUGCCAAUCCCAAUUUUCUGCGGCCUGUUGAUUUUGAUCACUUUUAAAUGAAACCCACACUGGCCUUAGUAAUCAUAAUGUCAUUUGCAAUUUCCCACAAAACACAUUUAUCCGCUAAGUAGCACAUUGAAAAAAGGAACUCCCUAUGUACUCUUCCCUGCAAAAAGGCCUAAUCGGAUUACUUCAUCAUGAACCUCCAAGCAGGGGUUCUUGUAAGAGGUCUGCGAGAGAAAGAGACAAUAGCGCGGCCUGCUCACAGCUGACUCUCAUAAUGCGAGUGAAGAAGAGACACUCAAUGUAGCACGCGAAGGGCAGGAGCAAAAUCGCCCCCGGGCUUCUCCUCAAAGAGACCAGUCAGAGUGGAUAAAAACCAACGAAUUCAACCAAGUGACCUAUGAAUGCUGAAAUGUUUGAUAGAAUAACAAGACGAUCUACAUUCUGUUUCAUGUUAAGAAAAUUGAAUCCAAAGAUUCAUGUUUUCUAACCAAGUCUCCGCAUUUGGAGCUAUGGACCUUUCUUGUCAAACGGUAAACAACAAAUUAAAAAACAAUUUUCAGCGCGCCAAGAACA